UCUAUUGUGGCGGAAUGGUAACGCAUUAGGAUGCCAAUUCUCAGAAACUUAACUGAUAGCCGGUUAGGGAGAAGCGGCUAGUAGUCCUAAGUUAAAGUGAGUUCGAUUCUCACCUUAAGAU
This is a non-coding RNA of Paramuricea clavata, 121 nucleotides long. NCBI's taxonomy places the organism in Eukaryota, Metazoa, Cnidaria, Anthozoa, Malacalcyonacea, Plexauridae. The record is from the annotation of a GenBank genome assembly.